GACGAACGCUGGCGGCGUGCUUAACACAUGCAAGUCGAACGGAAAGGCCCUGCUUUUGUGGGGUGCUCGAGUGGCAAACGGGUGAGUAACACGUGAGUAACCUGCCCUUGACUUUGGGAUAACUUCAGGAAACUGGGGCUAAUACCGGAUAGGAGCUCCUGCUGCAUGGUGGGGGUUGGAAAGUUUCGGCGGUUGGGGAUGGACUCGCGGCUUAUCAGCUUGUUGGUGGGGUAGUGGCUUACCAAGGCUUUGACGGGUAGCCGGCCGGAGUGGGUGACCGGCAACAUUGGGACUGGGAUACGGCCAAGACUCCUACGGGAGGCAGAAGGGGGGAAUAUGGCACAAUGGGCGGAACCCGGAUGCAGCAACGCCGCGGGCGGGAUGACGGCCUUCGGGUUGUAACCCGUUUUCGCCUGUGACGAAGUGUGAGUGACGGUAAUGGGUAAAGAAGCACCGGCUAACUACGUG
RNAcentral lists this ribosomal RNA (468 nucleotides) under uncultured bacterium. RNAcentral's name for it is "partial 16S ribosomal RNA". It matches the Rfam family "Bacterial small subunit ribosomal RNA", at positions 28 to 507 of the family's 1533-position model. The record is from RNAcentral.